Molecule: long non-coding RNA, 1223 nt
Organism: Pipistrellus kuhlii (Kuhl's pipistrelle)
Lineage: Eukaryota; Metazoa; Chordata; Mammalia; Chiroptera; Vespertilionidae
Exons: 3
Source: RefSeq, a predicted model, not a curated record
GCACCCAUGGGAGCGUAUUUCCGAUAUUUAUCCUAAUGCCUUGAAAUUUUAAGUCAAUACGGGCCUUUAGAAGUAAUAAAAAGGGUAUCACAGCAGGUUAGGAGACUAAGAUACUUUUCGGUGGUGCUGUUUUGAAAAGGUCCAUCAUCAAGAAUGGUCUUUAGUCAGUCACAUCGGAAACCUCACUGCCAGUCCUCGUAUCCCAGAGAUCCAUCUGUUCUGCACAGGUGGUGGCAUUGGCAGCGGCCAACCAUCCUCAUCCUUGCCCAAGUGCCAGGUGCAGUGGAGCAGAGAGGACCCAGCAGCCCAAAUUCAGCCACUGGUUUAGCUUCAAAAAAUGCUUUUGUUAACAAUUUUGUAUUGUUAUUUUUGUGUGUGUGCUUCAAAAUGAUCAUUGCUAUUUUAAAUUAUCCCGGGGGGAGUAUGUGUUCUUACCUGUGCCCAGUAGGACCACUAGGGACAUUGAGACUCAGAAGGAAAAUACAAGUGAGGACUGGCGCCUAUGUAAGACUGCAAGCCUCUGUGGCCAAAUGUGAAAGCUCCCAAAGCGCCAAGUGCAAACGUGGAGACAUCAGAGCAUAGGAAUGAUAGCAUUCCUCCUGAGUGCUCAGUUGUUAAGAGUACAUGCAUAUGAGAUGUCUGAUUAGACCUGAUAUUCUUUCUUUAUUCCCUAAAUCUAUCAUAUUUUUAAAUGUUUACAUAUGUAAUGUGCAAGUAGAUACCCGUGUGUGUGUGUGUGUGUGUGUGUGUUUACAUAUUUUUAAUAUACAUAUUCAGCUUCUAACUUCAGGUGGUAAGUUUGGCAACUAUGCUUUUGUAAAGGCAAUAGCCAUUUUUCACAGGUCAUGUGAUUGCAUCAGGGGUGACUUUUGGAUGAAAUGAUAAACCCUAAGUGACCAGGACAAUUUCUGGGCCAUUCAUUAGAGAAAGGGGGCAUUUGAAAGCUUGUAAUAGGCUCUUUUUGGCCCAUUCUGCAAUAUAAUUUUCAGCAUGAGCUCAGCAUGGAGACCAUAAUUUUGAAAGGACACAAUCUCAGCGUACAGGGAAAGGAGAUAACCUUUGAAGUACAUUCCUCUGAUUUUACAUAAUCCUGAAGAUGGUUUUAAAGAUAAUCAGGUUUCAGUAAAGGAUCAGCACCCACACAACAGGGUUGGGAAACUAUGGUCCACAGGCCAGAACUAGUACAACAUGUGUUUUCCAAAAAAAAAAGUGUUAUUGGAACA